AGCUCCAAUAGCGUAUAUUAAAGUUGUUGUGGUUAAAAAGCUCGUAGUUGGAUCUCGGCGGUCUGGGAUCGGUUCGCUCUCUUGAGUGCUACUGCUCCAUCUUCCGUCUUUUUGCCUGAUUUCUCUGUGUGCUCUUAACCUGGUGUCCCGCGAUGCUGGCAGGUUUACUUUGAAAAAAUUAGAGUGCUCAAAGCAGGCUUUUACGCCUGAAUAUUCGUGCAUGGAAUAAUAGAAUAGGAAGUCGUUUAUAUUUUGUUGGUUUUCGGAAAUCGACGUAAUGAUUAAUAGGGACAGUCGGGGGCAUUUGUAUUCAAACGACAGAGGUGAAAUUCUUGGAAGGUUUGAAGACAAACUACUGCGAAAGCAUUUGCCAAGAAUGUUUUCA
Molecule: ribosomal RNA, 385 nt
Filed under: marine copepod environmental sample
Lineage: Eukaryota; Metazoa; Arthropoda; Copepoda
Description: SSU rRNA
Rfam family: Eukaryotic small subunit ribosomal RNA
Source: RNAcentral